This 1109-nucleotide ribosomal RNA is filed under the name Triticum aestivum (bread wheat). RNAcentral's name for it is "partial small subunit ribosomal RNA". Lineage: Eukaryota; Viridiplantae; Streptophyta; Magnoliopsida; Poales; Poaceae. The record is from RNAcentral.
UUCCAAGCGAUACUUAUGUUGGACUCACUCGGGAGUCGAGACAUCAUCAAACAGAAGUAGUAGCAGACCUCUUCUCUUCUGUUCAUGUGACCCACCGCACCCGCCACCCCGCUAACAGUACAGUUAACCCCCAAAUCCAGCCGUCGCGAGCAUCUCCCUCCACCUUUCCACCAUGGCGGCCUCGGCGGCGCGUUCCCUCGCGCUCUUCUCCUCCGCCGCCUCGCUCGGCCUCGGGCGCGCCUCGUCCCGCCUCGCGCUCACCUCCUCCUCCUCCUCCCACUCGGGGCUUCUCCCCCGGCCGGCGCUCGCCUUCCGCGGGCGCUCCUCGUUCGCCGCCACGGCCGUCGUGAUGGGGAAGGCCGGCGCCGUCGACGCCGAGGCGGACGCGGGGAUGGACGCCGUCCAGCGCCGGCUCAUGUUCGACGACGAGUGCAUAUUAGUCGAUGAACAUGACAAUGUCAUUGGCCACGAGUCUAAGUAUAACUGCCAUCUCAUGGAAAAGAUAGAAUCAGGGCAUGCCCUUCACAGAGCGUUCAGUGUUUUUCUUUUCAACUCCAAAUAUGAAUUGUUACUUCAGCAACGGUCUACGACAAAAGUGACAUUUCCACUUGUCUGGACAAACACUUGCUGUAGCCACCCUUUACACCGUGAGUCUGAGCUCAUUGAGGAGAACUGCCAAGGGGUCAGAAAUGCAGCACAGAGGAAACUAUUUGACGAACUGGGAAUACAGGCUGAAGAUUUACCAGUUGACCAAUUCAUCCCACUCGGGAAGAUGCUUUACAAGGCUCCAUCUGAUGGAAAAUGGGGCGAACACGAACUGGACUACCUCCUGUUCAUGGUUCGGGACGUGAAGCUCAACCCAAACCCCGAAGAAGUGUCCGACGUCAAGUACGUGAACCGUGACGAGCUGAAGCAGCUGAUUAAGAAAGCAGAUGACGGGGAAGGUGGCAUCAAGCUGUCCCCUUGGUUCAGGCUGGUGGUGGACAACUUCCUGAUGGGCUGGUGGGAUCAUGUUGAGCAAGGGACUCUGAAGGAGGCUGCCGACAUGAAAGCCAUUCAUAAGUUGUAGAACGUGUAGAGCGUCAGGGUGAUUCAUCCAUUCGAUGAGG